GCCCCAAUUUAGAUCGGAUUAGACUGUCAUGGAACCGCGGUCUCAUUUGGAGAAUAGCACGUGAACAUCUCUGGGAGAUUUGAGGGGACAGUACCCUCAGGCAGGAGGAGGGGCUUUGUGAUAGUAAUCUCUCCCUGCAGUGCAGCUGACCCAGAGAAUAUUUGUCUACCAUCUAAAAUAUAGAAGAACUUUUCAAACACAUUUAAAAGACCUAAAAGUUUCCUGUCGGUGUUCUGUAAAACAAGUUAAUUCAACAUAGGCUUACACGAUGUUUCUUUUGCUUCCAUCCUUCCCCCUGGCAGCCUGCUCCAUACCCUUUUUGUAAGCCAGAAGAUACCCUCCUGCCCUGGCCCUCUUAGGUCAUGUCAUGGUGGGCACCCUGCCAAAUGAAGCUGAUCUUAUAAGCUGCUAGUGCCCUGGUUGUUGGUGGGACUGUUUGCAUGAUUUUUAAUUCACUUCUGUGGUGCCCUCAUUUUUUUUUUCCCUGCCCGAGUUUGAAGUGAGAUUGUGUUUAGCUGUGAACUACACUGCUGCAAAUUCAUGGUCUAUUAGCACCUUUUCAAAGCUCCCCUCUGUGCUCUCUGAAGAAUUAGAACACAGCUAUUAAAAAAAAAAUAAAUUAAAAAGCACUCAAGGUUAUUGCACAGUGUCAUUGUUUCAGGCUUUAUUUUUAACAUUAUUGCUAAGAUAGGUUUGUUUGUGUGUUUGCUUGCUUGCUUUCCCCAUACUGUAUUUAGAUUUGAAAACAACAGCAUCAGUAAUAAGAUAUUGAUGAACCUAAGGUAGAUGUGACAGCAUAAUAUGGGUAAUACAUAUACAAUUUGUCAAAGCAGAUGAAAUAACCCCACCUUGGGCGAUUUUCAAAAGAAAUACAGUACAGUACUUGUCAGGUCUGGGUGACUACUCCAUAAAUAUAUUACCUGCUGGCAUACAAGUAUCACUUUGUAUAAGGUAGUUACACAGUAAAGGAAAAGGGAGUGGCAGGGCAAAACCAGUGAUCUUGCAGAGUCUGUCAAAGAAAGCCAUGAUCUCAGAUAGAAAAAUGCUAAAAUAAAAAUGAUCAUUAUUUGGGGAUAACUACAUUUAUGUGUAAACCAUCCACACAUUUGAUUGGUAUUUUUAUUCUGAUCAAAUAAGUGAUGCUGUAGUUUUUAUUGUGUAUUUUUGAGUCGGUAUCUACUGUCAUCAGUAGGGAUACAAAAUUAGGCUAGAAAUAGACUUCUUUUCUUUAACAAAUUAGUAAAAAAUUCAGAAUUACUGCCACAGUUAGGAUACACACUUUGGCAGGAAUAUCCUGCAUCAUGAAAUGACUAAGACCUUCAGAAUCAAAAUCAAAACCCUGAAUUACCACAGAUAAAAUUUUUAUGUUAAAUAUUUAUAUUACACUUUUUUUUUUUCAAGAUCUAUUGUGGAUAUGCUUGUUUACCUUUCAUUGAAACAACUAAUGAAAGAAUGAUAGAGAGCAGGUGAAUUGUGCUAAGAUGUCACAGUGCUUACCUAUUUAUGUAUGUAUAUUUUUCUUUCCUAGGAUGUGAAAAAGAAAACAAUGGCUUUCAUAAUACACUCUUGCACAACACUCACUCUGACAGCUUUCAACGCAACUUCAGUGUGUUUGUAAUACCAGGUGCACACAUUUGCACAUACAUUUAUAUAGGGAGCUAUGAAAAUCAUAUCUUAGAAAUCAAAGGGGGCAGGUGGAUCAAAAUUACUAAAAUCAUAGCCAAAGCAUGCAGUAAACUGUAAACUACAGCUUGAUUACCUCUGAGAUGUUAAGUGGUUUUCUUUCUUUGCUAUUUCACUGCUAGUUCCCAGGCACAUGGGCGUGCUUAGAUCAUGAGUCCACCACCUCUAUCAUUUGUACUGUAGGAGUCUGAUUUUUUGACUACAGAAAGCAGAAUCAUCUACUGAAGUGUGGGAACACUUUAUGUUGUCCUAGGUUUUGUAUGUUAAUUCUACAAAUAUGUUGAUUUAACUCGAUUGAGGCCUCCUGGAAAAGGAGGCAUCCCCAUCCCUAUGGUCAACCCUCUCAAAGAAAAAGCACAGGAAAGGGUAACUUAAGGCAUUCAUUUGUCACCUGAGAGUUGUUAACUCAAUGGCAUCGUGCUUGGCCAUGAGCACCUUGCAUUUGUCUCCUGCUGAGCCUUUGGGACUCCCUUAGCCAGAGGAAUAAAAGCCCAGGAACCCAAAACAGUUGAAUUGGCAGGAUGGAAAUGUUCCCUUUCACAACAUGAAGAAAUAAAGAAUAUGCUCUCACUUCCUUGGGCAGCAUCUUCCAGCACUGAGCAACCUUUUCCAGUGCCUCACCACCCUCACAAGUAAAGGCACUUACUUUAAAGACCUUAGUCUUUGGCUUGAGCGUUUUGGUGGGAAAUCAUUCUGUUAGAAAAUUUAUAUCAGUGCUUAUGGUUACAGUAUCCAGAAACAGGACCAUAAGCUGACCAGUGAAGAUGGCUUUGCAGGACAAGAAUUGCUAAUCCACUAGACCUCUCUGUAUGUUUUUGAUGAGUAAAAGUUGAGAAUUGGAGGGUAAAAGAAUGCGUCAUGCAGCAAUUCUAACCAAACUACUCUUAAUAAAUAAAAUAACAUCCAAGUAUAUUCCAGAAGACUUUCCUUCUUCCUCUUCUCAUUAUACCUGCUUUUGGAAAGAUGUAUACCUUUUUCCCUGCUUCUAAUCUAUUUGUGGGGUGUAACUCCCUGUUACAGUAUACACAAGCAUAUAGAGAAUGUUAAUAAGAAAAAUGUCUAUCACUUUUGAUCAGGCUUACAAAUAAGCUGCUUUUUUUCUUUUUUUCCUUAAUAGCUUAUGUUUGGAAGUCAAGUCGUGGUUCUGGGAAAGGUGCAGAGGCUCAUGUUACAAAGCAUCUCCUUUUUGAUGAGCGGUGUUAGCAGGCCUUUUUGCUAACCAGUUCAAACAGACUACACUAAUUCUCCAGUGUGUUCCCAUCUUCCCACAUUAUGGUCUCUGCUUUCUUUCUUUACUGUCAAUACAUCUAGAAAUUUCUAACAGGUCAAUAAUCCCUGAAAGAUCAAAAUGAGGAUUCACUGCUAUAAAAACAUUGGCAUUUCUUUGUAAUAUAAAAGCGAAUGUGAUUCUUUCAAAACAAGGUAACCUCCAGUUGCCCAAGAAGAGUUCAUCCACCUCCAUCACAAGGUGGAAAUAUGCCAUUAAAACAAAGAGGUGUGGUUGAUAUCCCCAGAAGAUAUUUACACUGACGGAGACAAGUGAGAUGACUGAAAAAAAGUCAGGGUCCUUCAGUUUAGGAUCUGAAAACUGUUGCUGGGCAUAAAUAUGAUGUUUAUUCCAUGAGGGUACAGGGAAAAUCUGCCACGCAGAUUUACACUGUAGAGACUUCCUAUACAAUGGCCAAAAGACAUUCCAGAGAACUCUUUAGAAAGCUUAGAAUCAAUAGCAUAAUCAUAAUGUGUUACAGGAAGGCAACAGGGAAGGUCGGGGCCUAAGUUUCAUCACUAUCCAAAGUUCAGUAAAAUUCUCCAGAUGAUCUUAUACAGCAGACAGCUCUGUGCCACAGAGGAAGGAAAAAUGGCUUGUGUUAGUCUAAAGUGAAGGGCAGUUCGUUGGUGAUCCCAAGUAUAUGAAUGUUCUCUUAGGCCAAGUUCCUUUCUUUUUCGUGCCUGCAUCUUCAUUGACCUGAACAACAUUGCACCCCUUCUUUGAGGGGGUUAGUGGAAAGGGUAUUUUUCUGGAAGAAGUUCAUCUGUGAUAAGUUUUGCUGAUGCCAAUGCCUAUGUGAGGAUGGCAGUACAUGCAAUAACAACCAUUCUGGAAAAUGAGGAGGUAGAUACCAGAGAAAGAUGCAGACAAGAAGAGUUUCUUGUUCUAAGAGACAAAAGUUUUAUACACAGGGAGUAAAUAAAUGACUGGGCACAAAGCCUAGCACAAAGCCAUUCUUGUCACAUUAAAUUAAGUUGAUUUUUAUUUUACAUCUUAAAUCUAGCUAUUGGUGGGCUUCAUAAAGAAUACAGACAUGAUCUGGAAUGUUGAUCAAGUCUAAGGAUAAAGCGACAAAGAAAAUGGCCACCAGUUGAAAUGCCAUAAUUGAAAUAAUUGUGAAUGAAAUACCCCACGUCUGAGACUUUCUGCCAUGUUGGAAGAUUGAGAUUGGACAUGAUCUGUAAUAGUCAUCUUUGUCUAAAUCACCUGUUAGAGCAGGGUGACCUAGAGUAGGUUGCCCAGGACUAUCUCCAGAUGGCUUUUAAUCUUCUUUACCCUGAAGACAGAUAUAAAUAACUGGCACUGACCUUCUGGCUAGAAAACUUUAACAUAUCAGUCUUUGAAGCUUAUGUCCACUGCUCUCAUUUUAUCAGAAGAUUGUCUGAGCAUUGCACAGAUUUCUGGAUAUACUAGGACCUUUUUAAAGCCAAACAGUUUUCUGAAAACCAAACACAUCUAAAGAGUAAGCCAUCAUUUGUAUGCAGAGAGUCAUUGCGCUGCCUGCCUCAUCUGGAUUACCAGCAGACUCCUCACAGGAGAUAUUAAUUAUAGGCAAGGCUGUGAAUGCCACCUAUAGUUAAGCUUGCCUGACACUUUUCAUCACAAGACCCUGUUUUCCAUUGCUUAUAAAUUUGUCAAAUGUAUGUUAUUUGGACUAAAAAUGUACAGACUGGGAGACUGCAUCUGACUGAAUAUCUAAACCUUCAGAAAAAAUUGCAUCUUUUUUUUUUUCCCUCCUGAGAACAAGUUUAAGAGAAAUGUGCUGCUUUUUCUCUUGUCUUAAAAAUAGAUGUUUCUGUCCAUUUUGUUGAGAUGCUCCAACGAUUUGGAGAAAGAAUUCAAUAAGUGGAAAGUAGAAGCCAUGUGUCACAAUGUUGUCAGAGUCCAGGCUUUACAAAUGUGCUAGUGUACAUGCAAGAAGGACUCAAGUACUGUUAAAAUGUAGAAAGGAUGUGGUUGAAAGUAGAUUAAUUGUGGAGAUUUAAUUGAAGCUAUUUAAUAACUACUGUUUUCUAGGUUACCAUUACAUCAUCUUUUUACCUGUGGAAACGAGGGGAAGCUCAUCCCAUUCACAGAGUCCCAUCAGUGAUUUCUUGCUUGUGAAGCACGCAAGUAGUGCAAGGAUGGCAUGACAGAAAAGUCAUCAGACGUUCAUAAUCCUGUCUUCGUAGCAAGACUUGAGUACAGUAUGAAUCUUCAAAGCAACAAGGAACACCUCUUGUGGAAAAAAGGGUACUGCAGAUGGGGAAAUAAGAAUGAAAGUAAAAGAAACAUGAUAAACAGUGUCUACCAGGAAAGCGCCCAUGGAGCUGCUGAAUGAGGAUUGCUGAUGCUUGGAGUUGUGUAAUUGUGAAAUUUAGUGAAGAAGAGCUGUCGGAAGAUCUCUAAUUAGAUAGUGUAGCCAACCCCCAUAGGUAAUGUUUCCUACAUGCGCCACUAAGGGGUGUUACGUCAGAGAAACUGAUGUAUUGUGCACCCGGUGAAAUGGCCGAAAAAAGGCACAGACUGGUAAAAAAGACAAGGAAAGUUUUUCUGGGGUGGAUGUUUUUGUGUGUGAGCUAUCCAAUUCUAGGGUAUUCAGCACAGCUGUGAAGGAAGAAAAAGGUUUUGUAUUAUCUGGAAGGUGGAGAGGUGGGUGGAUACCCAGUAGAUAGGGGGUUCAUUGUGUAGUUUCCAUGUGCCUUGAUUCUGCCAUUUAGAAGAUGAUAAAAUGGACACCUCAUCCUAACUGCUAUGUUU
This is a long non-coding RNA of Pezoporus flaviventris, 5692 nucleotides long. RefSeq lists it as uncharacterized. Lineage: Eukaryota; Metazoa; Chordata; Aves; Psittaciformes; Psittacidae. The transcript is spliced from 5 exons. The record is from RefSeq and is a predicted model, not a curated record.